Loxodonta africana (African savanna elephant) is the source of this 15047-nucleotide long non-coding RNA. RefSeq lists it as uncharacterized. Lineage: Eukaryota; Metazoa; Chordata; Mammalia; Proboscidea; Elephantidae. The transcript is spliced from 4 exons. The record is from RefSeq and is a predicted model, not a curated record.
CAUCAGAUGUGAUCAAAAGAGGACUCAGAUUGAAACCUUUUUUUAAUGGAAGUUCUAAUGGUUUCUUCCCACCUCAGUGGGCUGUCCUGGGCAUCCAGGGGCUGACCACUGUGGAGACCACUGCAUCCACCUCCAUCCUGUGGUACAGCUGCUUUUCCUUCCUCCUGCUCAUGGAAAGAUGGAAAGCUCCUCUCCUGAGCCUCCUUCUCUCCUCUCCCGCAGCAACACAGUGCCCUCUCCUUCCCCCUUCUCCCAAGAACCACUGCCCACCCCCAGGAGGCAGGGAAGAGGUGGCCCCCAGCAGGAAAAGUAUCACCAACCACUUCCAAGAAGCAGGGAGGUAGUGGCCUGAGCAGGAAAAACCAGAACCCCCUGAAGCAAAGGGAGAUGAAGGGCUGCAUGUCACAGAGGCAACCUGUCUUCGUUGGAUUGCUGGAGGUUCAAGUCAGUCAAUGGACAACCCCCUGACACAGCCACUACAGUCCAUUCAGUCUCCUGGGCCCCAUGAUAACCUAGUAUACUUUGCCCUUUUAACACAGGAGAGCAGAAUGGACUUUAAGGAAGGAGAUAAUCUAAAUUAAACUUGGACCUCUUUUGGACACAUGUGCCUGGUACCAACACUCUUCUAUUCCCACCGUGGUAGAAAGAAGAUGGUGCUUGGAGCGUGUGGUGAGAUGAAUUCCUUUUGCCUUGGUUGUUUGGAAAACAACUUGAGAGAUUUCCCCCCUAAGCCCUGAGGAAUUACCUUUGCCCUUGUUUUCUACCACAGAGGGGUUGUUAUUUUGUCUGGGUUGAUUGACAUUUUCUGGGUAAACUGUAAUCAACUUGUGGUUUGAUACUUUUUGUCUAGUCCUGGGCUGCAGCCUGCUGUGUGAUUGGUAUGCACCUUGCAAGGAUGGGUCAAUACACUAUACAAAUGAAGUGUGUACAGCCAACUAUGCAAAUGAAUUGGCUGUGGCCCACCGAGCAGGGAUUGGUCAGUUUGUGGCCCUGGUGAGAGCGCCAUGCCUUGAAAUUUACAAGGAGUUUGUGUAUAUCUGGACCCAACCCUACAGAUGUCUUUCAGUCAGAAAGAAGCAGAAAGACAGGAAGCAGACAGAAGCAGAAGGAAGAAAGAAAAGGGAGAAGAAGCAGAGAGAGAAGAGGCAAAGAAUCUUCUAAAAGAGGUAUAACAUGGGUCAAGAGCUAUAAUGUGAAGACAGCGGCUGUAACACUGAAGACAGCGACAGGCCAAGAAGGGGCCCAGCAGCAGAGUCAGUGGUGAGAGAUGGCAGAGCCAAGAGAAGCCUGUCUUGAGGGGGCCGAGAGGAGGCCUGCACAGCUGGAAGAGCUGUCCUUCACUGAAGAAGAAAGACUUUGCCUACAUGCUUCCUGAUCCUGAGUUACUUCCUUAAUAAACCACUUAACCAGUUUGUGCCUUCUGUGGCAUCAGGCCUGAGAGCCAAGCCAAGUUCCUUCCUUGCUCAGAUGCUUCCUGAAGAUAGAAGCAGCUGGGGAAACCGAGUUUGUGCCUCAGUUUCCCAGCUCGGGUGAACAGUCCCUCCAGUGCUGGGAGAGGCUGGGGCUGCAGUAGGAGCUGAACCUCAAGGAGCGCUCACAUCUGGCCACUAAAGAUAAAAACAGCAGCUCCUGCCCUUCUCUGGCCACCUGUUGGAGACUGCCCAGACCAGCUUGACCAAUGUCCACACCCAGGGAGCAGCGCACCUUCAGCACGUGAAUUCACGUACUCCAGAUUGCCCCAGCCUCCAAGGGGAACUGGAUCUGUGCAGGCAAGCAUGCCCUCACCAUCUCCUACGAUGCCACGCACAACGCCUGCCACGUCACCAGCUUCGGGGGCACUAGCGUGUGGUGGGGCCUGGUGAUGAGGAAGCCAGGGGUCCCUGCUGUGUGCCCCUGACCAAGGGUGGCCUGCACCUGCCUGGGACACAGCCUUGCCCUCCUGAGAUAGCUCAGAGCAAGGCCUCCAAACCCUCUUCCAAAGUGAGCAGCAUCUGACCCAGGUAGGCCUGUGGGGUGGGGCUAGAGGACAGGAUGGGCCUAGGGCUUCCCCUGGGUGAACUGGGGACUUGGGGCAGUUCCGAAUGGGCGCAUGAAUUUGGACCAGCCUGAACGCCUUCCGGGUCUCUGGGUAGCACAGAUGGUUUGCACCUGAUGAGCCCUGGUGGCUCAGUGGUUAAAUGCUUGGCUGUUAACUGAAAUGUCAGCAGUGCAAACCCACCAGCAGCAAUUUGGGAGAAAGACCUAGUGAUCUCCUCCCAUAAAGAUUCCAGCCUAGCAAACUUCAUGGGGCAGUUCUACUGUGUCCUUUAGGAUCACUAUGAGUCAGAAUCAACUGACAGCACACAACAACAACACUAAUUGGAAGGUUGGUAGUUUGAACCCACUCCGUGGUGCCCUGGAAGAAAGGCCUGGCAAUCUGCUUCUGUAAAGAUUUGUUGUUGUUAGGUGCCAUCGAGUCGGUUCCGACUCAUAGCAACCGUACAACAGAAUGAAACACUACCCGGUCCUGCACCAUUCUCACCAUCGUUGUUAUGUUUGAGCCCAUCGUUGCAGCCAUUGGGUCAGUCCAUCUCGUUGAAGGUCUCCCUCUUUUUCUCUGACUCUUUACCAUGCAUAUGAUGUUCUUCUCCAGGGACUGGUCUAGCCUUAUAACGUUUCAAAGUAUGUGAGAAGAAGUGCUUCCAAGGAGCACUCUGGCUGUAUUUCUUCCAAAACAGACUUGUUGGUUCUUCUGGCAGUCCAUGGUAUAUUCAAUAUUCUUUGCCAACACCAUAAUUCAAAGCGUCAAUUCUUCUUCUGUCUUCCUUAUUCGUUGUCCAGCUUUUGCAUGUAUACGAGACGAUUGAAAAUAUCAUGGCUUGGGUCAGUCGCACCUUCGUCCUUAAAGUGAUGUCUUUACUUUUUAACACUCUAAAGAGGUCUUUUGCGGCACAUUUGUCCAAUGCAAUACGUUGUUCCAUUUCCUGACGGCUGCUUCCAUGGGCGUUGAUUGUGGAUCCAAGUAAAAUGAAAUCGUUGACGUCAAUCGUUUCUCCAUUUAUCAGGAUGUAGCUUAUUGGUCCAGUUGUGAGGUUUUUUUUUUUUUUUAUGUUAGAGUAUAAUCCAUACUGAAGGCUACGGGCUUUCAUCUUCUUCAGUAAGUGCUUCAGGUCCUCUUCAUUUUCAGCAAGCAAGGUGGGUCAUCUGCAUAUUGCAGAUUUUUAACCCACCACAGCGGACACGACAUUCUUCUUCAUAUAGUCCAGCUUCUCAGACUAUUUGCUCAGCAUACAGAUUGAAUAAAACAGGUAUGGUAAAAGAAUGCAACCCACACCUUUUUUUAAUUUUAAACCAUGCAGUAUCCCCUUGCUUUGUUCAAAUGACUGUCUCUUGGUCUAAGUACAGGUUCCUCAUGAGCACAAUUAAGUCUUCUGGAAUUCCCAUCCUUCGUAAUGUUAUCCAUAAUUUGUUGUGAUCCACACAGUAGAAUGCCUUUGCUUGUCAGUAAAACACAGGUAAACAUCUUUCUGGUAUUCUCUGCUUUCAGCCAAGGUCCAUCUGACAUCAGCAAUGAUAUCCCUGGUUCCACGUCCUCUUCUGAAUCCAGCUUGAAUUUCUGGCAGUUCUCUGUUGAUGUACUGCUGCAGCCGUUUUUGAAUGAUCUUCAGCAAAAUUUGGCUUGCAUGUGAUAUUAAUGAUAUUGUUCAACAAUUUCUGCAUUCUGUUGGAUCACCUUUCUUUGGAAUGGGCACAAAUAUGGACCUCUUCCAUCACUUGGCCAGGUAGCUGUCUUCCAAAUUUGUUGACAUAGAUGAGUGACCACCUUCAGCACUGCAUCCCUUUAUUGAAAUAUCUCAAUCAGUAUUUCGUCAAUUCUUGAAGCCUUGUGUUUUGCUGAUGCCUUCAGUGCAGCUUGGACUUCUUCCUUCGGUACCAUUGGUUCUUGAUCAUAUGCCACCUCCUGAAAUGGUUGAACAUCGACCAAUUCUUUUUGGUACAGUGAUUCUGUGUAUUCCUUCCAUCUCUUUUGAUGCUUCCUGCAUUGUUCGAUAUUUUGCCCAUAGAAUCCCUCAAAAUUGCGACUCAAGGCCUGAAUUUUUUCUUCAGUUUCAAUUUCUUCAGCUUGAGAAGGGCCAAGCAUAUUCUUCCCUUUUGGUUUUCUAACUCCAGUUCUCUGCACAUUUCAUUACAGUAUUUUACUUUGUUUUCUUGAGCUGCCCUUUGAAAUCUUCUCUUCAGCUCUUUUACUUCAUCAUUUCUUCCAUUUGCUUUAGCUACUCUGUGUUCAAGAGCAAGUUUCAGAGUCUUUUUUAACAUUCAUUUUGAUCUUUUCCUGGACUGCCAGAAGAAUGAACAAAUCUGUCUUGGAAGUACAGUCGGAAUCCUCCUUAGAAGCAAGGAUGGCCAGACUUCAUCUCACAUACUUUGGACAUGGUAUCAAGAGGGAUCAGUCCCUGGAGAACAUCAUGCUUGAUAAAAUAGAGCUCAGCGAAAAAGAUGAAGACCCUCAACAAGACGGAUUGACACCCUGGCUGCAACAAUAGGCUCAAGAAUAACAACAAUUGUGAGGAUGGCACAGGACCUGGCAGUGUUUCGUUCUAUUGUACAUAGGGUGGUUAUGAGUCAGAAGCAACCAGACUGCACCUGACAACUAACAACAACAUAUCUCAAAAGAGAAUGACUCAAGGUGCACCCUAACUCUGCUUCAUUAACAUAACAAACACAACCUAGUCACAGGUGGGAUUAUAACCACAGGCAGAGUUUAGGAUUUAAAACACAUAUUUUGGGUGGACACAAUUCAAUCCAUUAUAUUUAACUAUUUGGACUCCAAAAAUACAUGUCCUUGCCACAAGUAAAACACAUUCACCCCACCACAUCAUCCCAAAAGUCUUAAAAUCUACCCUAAUUCCAAAAUCUCGUAUUCUGAAUCAUCUAAAUAUAGAUGAGACUACAGGCAUAUUCCAUCCUGGGGCAAAAUUCCUCUUGAUCUGUGAACCUGUGAAAUCCGGAAUACAAGUUACCUGUUUCCAAAGUACAAUGAUGGAACAAGCACAAGGUAGACAUUUCCAUUGCAAAUGGGAGAAACUGGGGGGAAAGAAGGGGUAACAGUUACCAAGCAAGUCCCAAACUCAGCAGAACAAAUUAUAUUAUCUCUCAAGGCUUGAAAGUAAUCCUGUCUUCUCUGAGAUCAUCUAGGCAAUGGCCCUAUCCUCCAGACUCUGGGUGUUAGCCACACCCUCUGGAUUCUGGGUGGAGGCCCCUUGGCCCUGAGUUUCAGCUCCGCCUUCCAGGCCCACUGGGAUGGCGACUGGGCUCCCUUGGCUUUAGGAAUCAUCUCCAUUCUCCUAGGCUUUCUACGUGGCAGCCCCAUCCCUUCGGCCCUGGCAGGCCCCAUUCUUCUGCCUCUUGGGCAUGGCAGGCCCACCCCCUGAGAUUUGGGCAGCCCCAACCCCCUGGCACACCUUAACAGCAGCCGUACACUCAGGAACCAAGUUGGUAAAUAUCCAACUCUUUGAAAUCUAUGAGGCUGUGACCUCACCCUUGAAACCAAGAAGGCCCUGCAUCCCAUGCUCCUUGCAACAGUUCUGCUGAUUUUCUAGCUGCUCCAUAGAUGGUCCUUUUCUUUUCUUGGAAGACAAAAGAUGUAGCUCCUUUGGCCUGUUUGAUGCCUGUAGAAUUCCAAGAGGCAGACAGCAUUCCUUCCUUUCAUUUUUUCUCUGUCCCCUUCAGACUAAGGUGAAAGUUUUUCCGCUGUGGUAGUGGGUUCGAUCCAUCAGUCACAGGCGUGAUCACUUUAACAAAAGAUUGUGUUGCCACAUCCUUGGUGAAAAUUCUAGGACAAAUGUCCUUAGUUUGUACCACAGAAUUUUCCAAAUCUUUAAGUUUUGUUUCCAUUUUGCGCAGUUUAUUUUUAAGUCCAUCUCUUUCCUUUCACAUUUUACUAUAAGUGGCAAGGAGAAACCAUGUGACUCCUUUGAGAUCUUGCUUAGAAAUCUCAUCAGCCAGAUAUCCAGGCUCAUCACUUACAAGUUCUACCUUCCACCAAACAUUUGAACAUAAUUCAGACAAGUUCUUUGCCUUGGCAUAAAAAGCAUCACCCUUCAUCCACUGUCCAGUCAGAUGGUCAGCAUUUUCUUUUAAAGCCUCACCAGAAGCACAUUUAACGUCCACAUUUCAAUGUUGCUGGCGCCAUAUGUAUUCUCUAAGACGUUAGAGACUUUCUGUACAGCUCUUGUCAAUUCCUUCUGAGCCCUUACCAGAAUUGCCUUUGAUGUUCAUAAUUCUACCAACAGCCUCUUCAAGCAAUCUAGGCUGUUACUAUUAGGCACCUUAAAACUCUUCCAGCCUCUACCCAUUACCCAAUUCCAAAACUGCUUCCACAUUUUAGGUAUCUGUUAGAGCAGCACCCCACUCUUCCAGUACCAAAUUCUUUCUCAGUUAUCUAGUGCUGUUAUACAGAAAUACCAGAAACCGGUGGCUUUAACAAACAGACAUUUAUUUUCUCAUAGCUUAGGAGGCCAGAAGUCUGAAUUUAGGGCACCAGCUCUAGGAGAAUGCUUUCUUUCUCUGUCAGCUCAGAGGAAGUUCCUUGUUCCUUUGAGCUUCUUCUCCUGGGCCAUCUUCAUGUGCCUUGGCAUCUCUCUUCCCCAUUACUGCUUCUCUCACUUGCUUGUUUAAUCUUUUCUAUAUCUCAAAACAGAAGGACCCUAAUCUUGCCUCAUUAAGAUAAUAAACACAACCUAAUCCUCACUGACGUAACCUAAUCCUGCUUUAUUAACAUGAGAAGCACAACCCAUUCACAAAUGGGAUUAUAGCCCCAGGCAGAGGUCAGGAUUUACAACACAUAUUUUGGGGGGAUAUGAUUCAAUCCAUGACUUACGGUAAUGGGGCUGCUCCAGGACAGAAGUUUCCACUGUGACCUCAUUUCAGGUUCUCCACCCAUGGAGCUCUGUCUUGUGUUCCCCACCCCCUUCUCCAGGCAGCCCAGAGCCCAGACGGACCCCAGGCUCCCCCCCUCUGGUUCCCCUAGGCUCAUUCCUGGGUUCCCUGGGCUGGGGUUGUCCAUGACCGGCUCUGUCUAGCCCACCUGGGGCCUCCUAACUUGGGCCAGAGUCUUAGCUCCAAACCUUCAACAUGGAUCAAGGAACAAUGAAGGAAUGCACUUUGUACGAAGUCUCAAGUCCUGACAACCAGCCCUCCACCCUUCAUGGGGCCUGACUCCAGGUGGGACAGACAGGAAGACCCAGGCCGAGUGCCAGCUCUGGGGGUAACAGGAGUGACCCCUAGCAAGGCCUUCCUCUCUGGGGCCUCCGUUUCCUCAGUGGAGACAUUGGAUGAGGCGUGAGUAUGAAGUCCAGCCGGCAAGAAUCCAAAAUGUACCGUGAAUGGAAAAAGCUGGUUUAUAUGGUACUUACAUAGUUGUUUUAGUAUAUUAUAGUGUACUAUAUCACACAAAUGUAUAAAUGCAUGAUCACAGACAUUCUGGAAAACUCCACACCCACCUAUUAUAAGGGUUCCUUUGGGAAGUGGGUGGGCGCUGACGGUGAAAUCUUCACUGUUUGUGGGGUUUGGCCUGGGACGAAUCUCCCAACAUCACUGAUUUUCACUGGACUGAUCUCCUGUCCAUCGAUAUCAGCCAACUUCACAAUGGAGGAACUGAGGCCCAGGACAGUCUGACUCUAGAGCCCAAGCUCUAUCCACCAGAUUUUCUGGCCAGUUUUGUCUGGUUUCUAAGCUCUCCUUACACAUGCUCACACAGGCACACACCUGUAUACACAUACGGUCACACGUGCACACAGCUACACAUGUACACCCAUGCACACAGGCACACAUCUGCAAUGCACUUACAUCCAUAUGCAUGCACCCUUGUACACAGAUACACACUCACGUGUACAGAUACACAUGCACACACAUGCAUACUCACAUGGACACAAUGCAGACAAAACCCACACAUGUGCAAACACACACACACAGGCAUGCCCACAUAGUACCUACCUUUCACACGUGUACACACAUAGAUACCCACACACACUUUAGUUUUCCCACUGAGCCGUUGCUCAUGGUCCUGGGAACUCUGACAGACUCCCCAGGAAUCCAUGCUCUGCAGGGGAUCUGGCAUCAGCCCCUUCCUACCCGCCCCAAGAGGGGGCGCUCAUGAGCUGAGCUUUGCUGGGUUUUUCUGGGGAGAUUGGACAUGGAAGUCCUGCCUCCCUGGUCUUGGUGUUCCUAGUCCAGGAGUGAGAGGUGAGCUUUCAGCUUCAAGAUUCCGGCUUCCACAUCCUGAGAAUUCUGCUGGGAGGCAGGCAGCUCAGCCCAAAGCAGAACUCGAGGGUCAGACAGGCUGGGUUUGAGUCCUCAGCCCUAACAUGUCCUUGGUGUGCUAUGCGACCUGGCCAAGUGAUCCACCUCCCUGAGCCUCAGUUUCCUCAUUUGCAACAUAGGAAAACCAUAGUUUCCACUGCAAGGAGUCCGGGCAUUAGUGCCCAGCAUGUUGUACAGCUCCCAGGCAUCAACUGCAUGAUUCCAUCGUACUGGUGUCCUGGGGGCCUGCCCCAGCCUGAGUGGAGGUACCCUCUUCUUUCUGGCUUCUAACUGAGCUAAAAUUCACAUAACACAGACUUACCCAUUAAAAAAAAAUUUUUUUUGUUAAAAAUUUUUGUUUAAAAAAAAAAAGCAAGGCCUGCCUGUAGGAAAAAAAAAAAACUCAUUGCCAUCAAGUUGAUUCUGACUCAUAGGGAUCCUAACAGGACAGAGUGGAACUGCCCCAUAGAAUUUCCAAGCAGCACCUGGUGGAUUCAAACUGCCGACCUUUUGAUUAGCAGCUGUAGCACUUAACCACUAUGCCUGGAAUAUUAUCUAGUGCAUAUCAUUGCCUCAUGCUGAAAUAUGAACAGGAAAUUAAGGUUAACCAGGUGUUAUGGAUUGAAUUACUGAAGUCCUCACCCCUGUAACUGUAAAUGUGACAUUGUUUAGAAAUAGGGUCUUUCCUUCAAUAUGUUAUCAGUUCAGUUAAACGAGAUCAUACAAGAAUAGGGUGAGUCCUAAUCCUAAUCUCUUCUGAGUGGUGUCUUAUGAAAGGGGAAAACAGACAUGAAAACAGACACACACACGGGAAGACAGAUGCCAUGUGACAAUGGAGUCAGACACAUCUACAAGCAGCAACGGAACGCCGAGGACUGCUGGCAGCCACCCAAAGCUAGGAGAGAGGCAGUGAACAGUUCUUCUCUCAAAGUCCUCAGAAAGAAUCGACAUGGCCGAUAUCCUGAUUUGGACUCCUAGUCCUCAGAACUAUGGGACAAUAAAUUUCUGGUCUUUAAAGCCAAAAUAACAACAAUAAUACAUGUGUGAUAAAAUAUACAUAACAAAACGUUUGCCCUUUUGACCAUUUUUUAUUGUUAUAAAAAUAUAUAUAACAAAACACUGUCCAAGUCAACAUUUUUCAGGUGUACAAUUUAGUGAUAUCAAUGACAUUAUCAUGUUUCAAUCACGUUUGUGUGUACAGUUCAAUACACUGAUUACAUUCACCACCUUGUGCAACCAUCACCACUGUCCGUUUCCGGAUAUUUUCAUCAUCCUUCACAGAAGCUCAGUGCUCAUUAAGCAAUAGCGCUUCCUUUCCCCUCCCAAACUUAACCGUUUUAAAAGUGCUUAACUCAGUGGUUUGUAUUCUAUUCACAGGGUUGUGCAACCAUCGCCACUGUCUAGUUCUAGAAUAUUUGCAUCACCCCAAAAAGAAUCUUCAUACUCAUUAGCCAUCACUCAUCAUCUCCCUUCCCCCAAGCCCUGUUGUUGUUAUUAGGUGCCAUCCAGUCAAUUUUGAUCCAUAGCGACCCCAUGAGACAGGGUAGAACUCCCCCACAGGGUUUUUGAGGCUGUAAUCUUUAUGGGAGCAGGUUGCCAUGACUUUCUCCUGUGGAGCCCUGGGUGAGUUUGAACCACCAAACUUUCAGUUAGCAGCCAAGCACUUAACCAUUGUGCCACCAAGGCUUCUUUCCCAAGCCUUGACUCAUUGCCGACAAGUCAAUUCCCACUCAUAACAACUCUAUGAGUAUUCCCAAGCCCUAGGCAACCACUGAUCUACUUUGUUUCUUUGGAUUUCCCUGCUCUGGGUAUUUCAUUUGAAUGGAAUUAUAUACUACGUGGUCUUUUGUGUCUGCCUUCUUUUACUGCGUAUAAUGUUUUCAAGGUUCAACCACAUUGGCAACAGGUAUCAGAGCUCCUUUUAUUUUUAUGGCUGAAUAAUAUUCUGUUGGGUGGAUGGAACACAUUGUGUUUAUCCAUUCAUUUACUGACGGACAUUUGGGUUGUUCCUAUUUUGGGACUAUUGUGAAUAAUGCUGCUAUAAACAUUGAUACGUUUCUGUGUGGAUGUAUGUUUUCCUUUCUCUUGAGUACAUACCUACGAGUGGGAUCACUGGGUCAUAUGGUAAUUCGUGAGCAAUCGACACACUAUUUUCCACAGCGGCUGCACCACACUCAGUCUUUGUACAGCCUGAUCGAGGAUGGUGUCUUAAAAAGCCUGGGUACCCUCUACCCCGUGGGGCAAACCCACUGAUACCAGAACCCCGGGGGGAUAAAUGUUUGAUGUCCACAGACGUGUCCAGCAGCCUCAUGUCCCCAGCAAAAUCCUGGGGACAUAGCAAAUAGAGGGAAGGUUGGAAUAAGUUAAGGUGCCUUCAGCUGUGAAAUAAUGCAGAGCUUUGAAAAAAUGAGUUCCAUGCUGGAGGAUAACAGCCGGCUUUAGAGGACAGUGUGUGAUGUUAUUUUUGUAACAAUUCUGUAAAAAGUAGACAAAAAAGCAAAAACCAUGUACGGGGAUAAGUGCGUUGGGCUGAGUUGGAGCACAAAGAGGUGUCUUGGGGGAGGCAGAUGGUAUGGGGUAGGCCUUCCCCACCUCCCCCCAUGCCAUGUGCCCCACUGUCCCCCCCAUCUGACCUCGCCUCAGGCAUUUUGAAUGGAAAAUUCACUGAAGAAUGGUGAAAGGAAGUGAAACUGGGGAAGCACAUGCUGGCGGUAAUUGUCCCCUUUGUUUGGAGGCAGCUGUGAGCUUGGGAGAACAAGCAGCAGAUUUGAUCAAAAGCUUUUCUCCUGUGUAAAAUGGGUGAGGAGGCCUGGCUUCCUCUGGCGCUGUGUGUCUUCACUGGCUGCCAGGAAAGUCUCCCUCUGACAUCUCCCAGGCAGUCUGUCUUUGCCUUCACCCAUGUAAUGGUCCCUUCAUUCAUUCACCACACAUUUGAGGAGCACCUUAACCCUGGUAAAACCCCCUGUCUGUUAUAGAUUGAAUUUGUCCCCCUAAAAAUAUGUGUUGAAAUUCUAAACCCUGUACUUGCAGUCGUAAGCCCAUUUGGGAAUAGGUUUUUUUGUUACGUUAAUGAAGUCAUAUCGAUGUAGGGUAUGUCUUAAGCCUACUCACUUUCCAGAUAUAAAAGGAGCAGAUUUGGCACAGGAGCAAGCACAGAGGGGAAGAUAGAUGCUGCGUGGACAUCGCCAAGGAAUCGAGGAACGCCAGGACUACAGAAACUAAAAGAGAUCUUCCACGAGAAACAACAGAGAGCGAGCCUUCCCCUAGAGCUGGUGCCCUGAAUUUGAAUUUCUAGCUUCCUGAACUGUGAGAAUAAAAAAUUUCUAUUCUUUAAAACUACCCAUUUGUGGAAUUUCUGUUACAGCAGCACUAGGAGGCUAAGACCCCGUUCGACAUCUAAAACCACAAAUGACAAGCUGAGGGCAGUGACUUAAAGGAAACCUCCGAGGUACAAAGAAAGGGCAUCCAACUUGGGGCUGGUCUACUGGAAGGUGUCAUUUCACCAGAGACCUGAAGGAUGAAUGAGAGCACAUGCAAAGCCCCUGAGGUGGAAACAAGCUUGGAUGUCAGAGGAGCAGGGAGGAGGCUGGUGUGGCUGGAGAGAAGGAGAUGAGGAAAGGAGACAGGGUGGGGGGCUGUAGGGUGGGACCACACAAGGGCUCCUGGGAUGGGAGAGGAAUGUGAGUUUCAUCUUGAGGCAAUGGGAGCCAUGGGAGGCUUCAGAGCACAGCAGGGACAUGACCUGAUUCAUAUAGUGUGUGUGUAUUUAAGUAUAACACAAAACUUACCGUUCUGAAGUGAACAGCUCAGUGGUAUUUAGUACAUUGCCAGAGUUGUGCAACCACCACCUCUAUCUAGUUUCAGAACAUUCUCAUCACCCUAAAUGGAAACUCCACCCCCAUUGGCAGUUGCUCCCCAUUCCCUUUCCCUCAGCCUCUGACAACCAUGAAUCUGUUUUCUGUCUCUAUAGAUUUGCCUGUUCUGGACAUUUCAUGUAAGUGGAGUCAUACAACAUAUGGUCUUUGUAUCAGGCUCCUCCAAUUUGUACUUUUUAAAGAGCAGACUGGAAGGGCAGGAGGGGAGGCCAACACUCCGCUCCUGAAGGGCUGCCUGAGGGGCUGGAGCAACCUUUGCCUGGAGCUCACUGGAGGCUCAGAAGUGUCUGAAGUCAAUGCUCCAUGAAGACCUGGGUAGGGAAGUCCAGAAGCAAGAAGAGGAGGGGUGGAGGCCAGGCAAGGACAUGUGUCCGACAGUCCAGGGGAGGGCAACUUUGGCUUUGGCCUCCGGGGAGACAUGGAGACGCUUCGUGCUUAAGGGCGAGGGAGUUGGGGUAUUUGUACUCCACACCACAGUCAUUGGUCCGGGCUGCCCCUGGGUGACUUUCUCGGAAAACCACUUGCUCACUGUAUGAGUCUCUUGUGUCUGCAGCAACAAAGAACCAUAAACUGGGUAGCUUAAAACAAUGGAAGUUUAUUCUCUCACAGCCCUGGAGGCCAGAAGUCUGAAUGCAGAAUGUCAGCAGGGCCACACUCCUUCCUUGACUCUUCCAGCAUCUGGUGGUUUCCAGGUGUUUCCUGGGCUUGUGGCUGCAUCACUCCAAUCUCCGCUCCAUCUUCGCGAGGCCUUUUCCUCUGUGGCUGUGUCUUCUUUUUUUAUAAGGUCUCCCAUCAUUGGAUUUAGGGCUCACUCGAAAUCCGGGUUGACAGCAUCUGAAGAUCCUUAACUGAUCUGCAAAGGCCCUCUUUCCAAAUAAAGUCACAUCCUGAGGUUCUGGGCGGACAUGAAUUUUGAGGGGACACAGUUCAAUCCCGUACAUUCACAAAUCCUUGGCGGAGGCUCUGCCCCAGGGGCCCAAUCUCAGGAAACGCGGGAGGCCAAGGUUAAAGUCACCACUGCCCUGAAGUCAGUCAGAGCCGCGGUCCCGUAUGCUGGUGGCUAUUUGGCAAAACGGCCUAGGUGUUCUCACUAGGAAGGCGAUUCCAUCGAUGUUCCCACCCUCCCGGGGCUGCGUCACAAAGCCUGGAUCUCAGAGUCAUUGUUUGAAACAUGCUGUUUGUUCUCAGAGUCCACCCCAGCCCCGUCACUUGAAAGGAACAUGGAGCCAAUCAUGGCCCUGACCUUCCCGGAAAUGGUCCCUGGAGCUUAUGACAGUUUCCCCGGAGGUCCAUCCUUAGAGAUGUCUACUAACUCUGUCCUCUGGCCUUCAACACCCUGGAUAGAUGGUUGCAGUGGCAGGGAUGGCCAGGGUCAACCCUGUCUUUCAGAAAGCCUUCCUGUAUCCACGUAAGCAACCUAUAGAAGCAAAGAAUAAACUUGGGCAUCCUUAGAUUCUAUUGGAUGAUUAUUUAACAUCGAGAUGGCGUGAGGCAGUCAGCACACAUACUUUCAUAUCAUCUUUGACAGCCACAAGUCAUCAUACAGAUGAGGAAACUGAGACCCAGAGAGGCUGGCUACCAACCCUCAUCACACUGCUAGUAAGGACUGUCUCAGAACUCUUUUGGCUGUAUAAAGCCAAAAAGGGAAUUCAUCAGUUAAUGGAACCAAAACUGAUGGCUUCAGGCUCAGCUGGAUCAAGGUGAUCCUAUAAACUCACCAGGGCACCAUCUGUCUCCAGUUCUUGGCUCUGCUGUCCUUCUGUCAGCUUCAUUCCCAGGUAGGCAAGAUGACGCCCAGCAGCCCUGGGCUGACCCUGUGAGCUUAAACCCAAAAACCAAUCCCAUUGCCAUUGAGUUGAUCCAACUCAUAGUGCCCCAUGUGUUACAGUGUAAAACUGAGCUCCACAGGGUUUUCUUGGCUAAAAUGCUUGCAACGGCAGAUCACCAGGCCUUUCUUCUGCAGCACCACUGGAUGGGUUACAAUGGCCAACCUUUAGGUUAGUAGUUGAGCACAAACUGUUUGUGCCACCCAGGGACCUCCUGUGAGUUUAAUCAACACAAAAAGAGCUCCGUUGCCCUACACCUUGGGCAGAAGCACCAAGAUUGCAUCUUACUGGCCAAUCUCAGUGGUCAGGGGCCACAAUGCACUGACCAGCAGGGCCUGGGUGACAUUGUUGAAAGGGGAGCUAACCACAUCAGACGCUGUUCACAGGAGAAGCAGGAACAGCUCCCAUGAGUUUGCAGAGUGAGGACUGGGACCCAGGCCUUCACCACUGACCUAUACCAUCUCAGCUGCUUUAUCAGGCACACUCACCCCUCAGAUGCUCCAACAUCACCACCCAUCAGCCCUGGGGAGGACCCCCAGGCCCCACUCCUUGUCCUAGUCCCUUCUCAGAGCCUCAGUUUCCUCAUCUGUAAAACGAGUCAUCAGGAGCAUCUUGCACUCAAUGACAGGUCAAAGGUCACACCGGUUUACAGAAAAUGAGGUCCAGGUGAUGAGCAUAAGGAGCGGACUUUUACUGAGUGAGGACAGGGUGCAGGUUGGGAGAGUUUUAGGUCCAGAUGCAACCGGAAAGUGCAGCGAGAAUGGGGCAAAUGAGAGCAGCUGGGGUACAGGGAGGUGGCUGUGGUCCGGCACUGCCAGGCCACCGCUGACGGCCGCAUUUAUCUUCCGCGCAAGGCCCAGUUCUAGUAUCCUCACAGCUCCUCCCAUCCCCCUCCUCUGCCCCAGUUUCUUGUUUACCCAUCUGUGGCCACAAUUUAUUUUCGGAUGAGAAGGUCUGUCCUCCUUGCUGUCUGUGGCCACCCGCCAAAGCCACUCGCCUUCCACGCCAAGAGAAGGGAGGCCAGGAAGAAUACAACCCAUCACCAAGAAGGCGAGAUUCUGGGAGG